Molecule: ribosomal RNA, 295 nt
Filed under: uncultured bacterium
Lineage: Bacteria
Description: partial 16S ribosomal RNA
Rfam family: Bacterial small subunit ribosomal RNA
Source: RNAcentral
GUUUCCUACGGGGCGCAGCAGUCGAGAAUCAUUCACAAUGGGGGAAACCCUGAUGGAGCAACGCCGCGUGGGUGAAGAAGGUCUUCGGAUCGUAAAACCCUGUUGUUAGAGAAGAAAGUGCGUGAGAGUAACUGUUCACGUUUCGACGGUAUCUAACCAGAAAGCCACGGCUAACUACGUGCCAGCAGCCGCGGUAAUACGUAGGUGGCAAGCGUUAUCCGGAUUUAUUGGGCGUAAAGGGAACGCAGGCGGUCUUUUAUGUCUGAUGUGAAAGCCUUCGGCUUAACCGGAGAAG